This is a long non-coding RNA of Clupea harengus (Atlantic herring), 268 nucleotides long. RefSeq lists it as uncharacterized. NCBI's taxonomy places the organism in Eukaryota, Metazoa, Chordata, Actinopteri, Clupeiformes, Clupeidae. The record is from RefSeq and is a predicted model, not a curated record.
CUGACAGCCAUGGGCCUAAUGCUGGAGACGACUGAAGAGAGGUCAGCACUGGAACCCCGACCACCGGAGGAACUACAGCUGAGGAACACAAACAAACACACAGAGGGAUGAACACAUUUCAUCAAGGUAGACUGUUCCGUUCCCAGUCUCCAGGCUCACAAGAAGAGUAUGGGUGGAGAAAAAGAAUAACAUGGAUGAGCAGCUGGAUUAAAAUGUUGUUCUUCCUGCUGUGACCCACCUUUGGUUCGGACCUGCUGAUGCAAGAGGC